Molecule: transfer RNA, 87 nt
Filed under: Nematostella vectensis (starlet sea anemone)
Lineage: Eukaryota; Metazoa; Cnidaria; Anthozoa; Actiniaria; Edwardsiidae
Rfam family: tRNA
About the family: Transfer RNA (tRNA) molecules are approximately 80 nucleotides in length. Their secondary structure includes four short double-helical elements and three loops (D, anti-codon, and T loops).
Source: Rfam by way of RNAcentral
CUUUCGAUAGCUCAGUUGGUAGAGCGGGGAAUUUCAUUUUAUAAUAGACUGAUCCCUAGGUUGCUGGUUCGAAUCCGGCUCGAAGAA